CCCGAGUGGUCGGGACGGUUAUUUGGCCUAAAGCAUCCGUAGCCGGCCCUGUCCGUCUUCCGUUAAAUCUAACGGCCCAACCGUUAGGCUGCGGAAGAUACCACAGGGCUAGGGGGCGGGAGAGGUGGACGGUACUCCAAGGGUAGGGGUAAAAUCCUCUGAUCCUUGGAAGACCACCGGUGGCGAAGGCGGUCCACCAGAACGCGCCCGACGGUGAGGGAUGAAAGCUGGGGGAGCGAACCGGAUUAGAUACCCGGGUAGUCCCAGCCGUAAACGAUGCGAGCUAGGUGACAGAAUGGCCUAAGAGCCAUUCUGCUGCCGCAGGGAAGCCGUUAAGCUCGCCGCCUGGGGAGUACGGACGCAAGUCUGAAACUUAAAGGAAUUGGCGGGGGAGCACCACAAGGGGUGAAGCCUGCGGUUCAAUUGGAGUCAACGCCGGGAACCUCACCAGGGGAGACAGCAGGAUGAAGGUCAAGCUAAAGACUUUACCCGACGAGCUGAGAGGAGGUGCAUGGCCGUCGCCAGCUCGUGCCGUGAGGUGUCCUGUUAAGUCAGGCAACGAGCGAGACCCUCGCCGCUAGUUGCUGUCCUCUCCCGCAAGGGAGAGGAAGGUAGUUAGCGGGACUGCCGCCGUUCAAGGCGGAGGAAGGAGAGGGCUACGGCAGGUCAGUAUGCCCCGAAACCCCUGGGCCACACGCGGGCUGCAAUGGUAGGGACAGAGGGUGUCCAACUCCGAAAGGAGGAGGUAAACCCUAAACCCUACCCCAGUUGUGAUUGAGGGUUGCAACCCACCCUCAUGAAUAUGGAAUCCCUAGUAACCGCGUGUCACCAUC
This 833-nucleotide ribosomal RNA is filed under the name uncultured crenarchaeote. RNAcentral's name for it is "bacterial SSU rRNA". It matches the Rfam family "Archaeal small subunit ribosomal RNA", at positions 483 to 1312 of the family's 1478-position model. The record is from RNAcentral. Lineage: Archaea; Thermoproteati; Thermoproteota.